GGGAUGCAAGCAUCGGCGGCGAUGCACCUGCCUCUUAAGCGGGAGAGCGAGGUUCGAGUCCUCGGCGUCCCACCA
Molecule: transfer RNA, 75 nt
Filed under: Planctomycetota bacterium
Lineage: Bacteria; Pseudomonadati; Planctomycetota
Description: Planctomycetes bacterium (soil metagenome) tRNA-Lys
Rfam family: tRNA
About the family: Transfer RNA (tRNA) molecules are approximately 80 nucleotides in length. Their secondary structure includes four short double-helical elements and three loops (D, anti-codon, and T loops).
Source: RNAcentral